Molecule: long non-coding RNA, 1299 nt
Organism: Entelurus aequoreus (snake pipefish)
Lineage: Eukaryota; Metazoa; Chordata; Actinopteri; Syngnathiformes; Syngnathidae
Exons: 3
Source: RefSeq, a predicted model, not a curated record
CUCACAAUUCCCCGUUGUUUACAAUGGAGCGAGAGAGAUUCGGAGCGACAAAGCGUCGAUUACCCCAUUAAUUUGAGCGAGGAUGAAAGAUUCGUAGAUGAGGAACGUUACAGUGAAGGACUAGAGAGGCAGUGAUGGACGUAUCUUUUUUCGCUCUGACCGUAACUUAGGUACAAGCUGGCUCAUUGGAUUCCACACUUUCUCCUUUUUCUAUUGUGGUUCACGGAUUUGUAUUUUAAACCACCUCGGAUACUAUAUCCUCUUGAAAAUGAGAGUCGAGCACGCGAAAUGGACAUUUAAAGUGACUUUUAUCUCCACGACUAUACAUCGGUGACACACUUAGCUACUGAGCUAACGUGAUAGCAUCGUUCUCAAAUGAAGAUAGAAACAAAAGAAAUAAACCCCUGACUGGAAGGAUAGACAGAAGAUCAACAAUACUAUUAAACCAUGUACAUGUAACUACACGGUUAAAAAUUCUCAGCCUGGUAAGUCUUAACAAUGCUGUUGCUAACGACGCUAAGGCUAAUUUAGCAACUUAGCAACCGGACCUCACAGAACUAUGAUAAAAACAUUAGCGCUCCACCUACGCCAGCCAGCCCUCAUCUUCCCAUCAACAGCCGUGCUCACCUGCGUUCCAGCGAUCGACGGCGCGACGAAGGACUUCAUCCGUGGGUUUGGCAGCAAGCAUCGGCUAGGUGUCUUCUAACUUUGGACAAUCCACUACACACAUUGGCGUCACGAACAGGAUGGCACAGAAGCUACAGGUCGACAGCCGCUCCCGCUCUCUCUGUCAGGCAGACAGUGUGUUGCAUGCGCAUCACAAGUUCCGUACCUGCCGUGUGUGCCUGCUCAGCCUGCUAGCCUCAGCCUGCUAGCCACAGCCUGCUAGCCACAGCCUGCUAGCCUCAGCCUGCUAGCCACAGCCUGCUAGCCACAACCUGCUAGCCAAAGCCUGCUAGCCUCAGCCUGCUAGCCUCAGCCUGCUAGCCACAACCUGCUAGCCAAAGCCUGCUAGCCUCAGCCUGCUAGCCUCAGCCUGCUUGCCACAGCCUGCUAGCCUCUGUGUGCUCUCCUGGACUGCCAAGCCAAGGACUAUGAGCUCCCUCCUUUCCCUCUGGUUUUAUUAAUUAUAACCCUUGAACUUUACUUCUGCUUGUCUUUUCUGCAUUUGGGUUCACCAGUUUUACCAACCGUGACAAAAACAAUAACCAGAAACUUAAGUAUACACAAUAACACAUUUCUAGACAACUUGUUUAAUUACAUUUUGAAUGUGCUUGUGUUGUUGUAAUUCCCAUGAAA